This 125-nucleotide ribosomal RNA is filed under the name Ricinus communis (castor bean). Its description in RNAcentral is "5.8S ribosomal RNA". It matches the Rfam family "5.8S ribosomal RNA", at positions 1 to 125 of the family's 154-position model. From Rfam's summary of the family: 5.8S ribosomal RNA (5.8S rRNA) is a component of the large subunit of the eukaryotic ribosome. It is transcribed by RNA polymerase I as part of the 45S precursor that also contains 18S and 28S rRNA. The record is from Rfam by way of RNAcentral. Lineage: Eukaryota; Viridiplantae; Streptophyta; Magnoliopsida; Malpighiales; Euphorbiaceae.
GACUCUCGACAACGGAUAUCUCGGCUCUCGCAUCGAUGAAGAACGCAGCAAAAUGCGAUACUUGGUGUGAAUUGCAGAAUCCCGUGAAUCAUCGAGUUUUUGAACGCAAGUUGCGCCCGAAGCCU